CCAAAUGACGAGAAAAAUUCGAUUAGCUCUAGAUCAAGAGUUGCUCACGCAGCUAUGAACGAUUAUCAUGUAUUAUCCGAUGG
Trichophyton interdigitale MR816 is the source of this 83-nucleotide small nucleolar RNA. It matches the Rfam family "A. fimigatus snoRNA Afu_199". NCBI's taxonomy places the organism in Eukaryota, Fungi, Ascomycota, Eurotiomycetes, Onygenales, Arthrodermataceae. The record is from Rfam.